Molecule: unclassified non-coding RNA, 943 nt
Filed under: Hevea brasiliensis (rubber tree)
Lineage: Eukaryota; Viridiplantae; Streptophyta; Magnoliopsida; Malpighiales; Euphorbiaceae
Source: RNAcentral
UAUAUUAGAUACAACAACAGUUCCCUUGUUUCUAUACCUACUAUACAUAUCAAGAAUCCUAAACUAGAGAAGUUACAAUUUUCUCCAAAGAUAUCUAUACAGCACCUACAAGAAACUGAACCAGUGUACAUAGCUGUGUAUUUUCAGCUCCAAAGCAGAUAGAGAUGGAUGUUGCAUCUUCCAGUUAUAUUGUGCAUGGUGUAGUCAAGAUUUUCGUUGCUGGAAGUUGAACUUGUGUAUGGUCUCAUGCAGUAGGGCCAAUGCUGCAAACUUCCUAAGCAGCUGACUGUUUUUUGCAUUGCUUUAGGCGCGCCUAGAGCAUAGAGCAUAUGUAGUAAGCCACGAAAAACAUGGACUCCUUGAGAAGUGUCAGCGCAAGAACAAAAUAAAGCUCUCAUGUUUCAUCGGAAUAGAUGUCGCACCAAUCAUCCUCGCAUAAAAGCCUCAUAUGCUUGUCUCAGAGCAAGAACACAGCAUUUUGAAGAAAGGGAUUUGUUGUUUCAAUGCUAUUGGUUCUCAGUUAAAGAAGUAGGGUGACUCGAGAACUUCCCGCAAAUCAAAAUCACCUCUUUUUGGUAGAGGGGGAAAUGUCAAUGCUGGAUAUGAUUCCUGGAAGCUUUCAAGCAAAUCUUCAAGAAUAGGCAUACUGUACAGCUCCACAAACUUCUCCCUGAGUAUCCUGUUCAUCUGGUCGACAUCGCAAGCAUGAGUCCAGAAGGAAUCAUGUACCCCUGCAAAAUGUAGUCCAGCAUCCCUGCAAGCAACAGCGGUCAUCAUCAUAUGUGAACCAUCCAGUGAGUGCACAAAAUUUGGAGGAAAAGCAGUUCUCUGCUUUCGGACCUCAACUGCAUCACCCUCACGCUGCAAAGCCAAAACUUGAAGAGAAGUUCUUAUAACAUGCCGCUGAGUUUUAAAGUAAGGCUGCACAACAGGGAGCCCCAGA